UUUCAAAGUAUCUUCUGCCCACUGAUAAGAUUUAAAGGCCGCAGUACCCUGACUGUGCAAAGGUAGCGUGAUAACUGUUUUCUUAAUUAGAGAUCUGUUCAAAGAAUGAUAUGCAGAGGUACUAUUGUUUCUAUAGUUAAAUGAAUUUAAAUUGUUAGUGAAAAUUCUAACUAAUCCCUAAAAGACGAGAAGACCCCAUAAAACUUAAUUUAACCUACUCUUAUCUAUUACUUAAAAUUUAAAUGGGGACUUUAGAGUAAACUUAUAACUUAUUGACCUGAUUUUUUUUAAUUAUUUGAGAAGCUACUUUGGGGAUAACAGGGUGAAAUAUUUAAAGAGUUCUUAUCGAUAAAUAUGUCUACUACCUCGAUGUUGGAUUAUCUUUUCAA
This 389-nucleotide ribosomal RNA is filed under the name Brachionus urceolaris. Its description in RNAcentral is "partial 16S ribosomal RNA". It matches the Rfam family "Bacterial large subunit ribosomal RNA", at positions 1845 to 2548 of the family's 2925-position model. Lineage: Eukaryota; Metazoa; Rotifera; Eurotatoria; Ploima; Brachionidae. The record is from RNAcentral.